UGCCAGACUCCUACGGGAGGCAGCAGUGAGGAAUAUUGGUCAAUGGGCGCAAGCCUGAACCAGCCAAGUCGCGUGAGGGAAGACGGCCCUACGGGCUGUAAACCUCUUUUGCCGGGGAGCAAGCCUGAGCACGUGUGCCCAGGCGGAGAGUACCCGGAGAAAAAGCAUCGGCUAACUCCGUGCCAGCAGCCGCGGUAAUACGGAGGAUGCGAGCGUUAUCCGGAUUUAUUGGGUUUAAAGGGUGCGUAGGUGGUUAAUUAAGUCAGCGGUGAAAGUUUGUGGCUCAACCAUAAAAUUGCCGUUGAAACUGGUUGACUUGAGUAUAUUUGAGGUAGGCGGAAUGCGUGGUGUAGCGGUGAAAUGCAUAGAUAUCACGCAGAACUCCGAUUGCGAAGGCAGCUUACUAAACUAUAACUGACACUGAAGCACGAAAGCGUGGGGAUCAAACAGGAUUAGAUACCCCAGUA
This 467-nucleotide ribosomal RNA is filed under the name uncultured bacterium. Its description in RNAcentral is "bacterial SSU rRNA". It matches the Rfam family "Bacterial small subunit ribosomal RNA", at positions 329 to 792 of the family's 1533-position model. The record is from RNAcentral.